CGAACAUUUAAGGUGCCAGAGUAGAUGCCCAUCAGACACCACAAAAGGCGUUAGUACAUCUUGACAGCAGGACGGUGGCCAUGGAAAUCGAAAUCCGCUAAGGACUGUGUAACAACUCACCUGCCGAAUGUGCUAGCCCUGAAAAUGGAUGGCGCUCAAGCGUCUCACCCAUACCUCGCCCUCGGGGUAGAAACGAUGCCCCGAGG
RNAcentral lists this non-coding RNA (206 nucleotides) under Trichoderma virens Gv29-8. Its description in RNAcentral is "eukaryotic large subunit ribosomal RNA". It matches the Rfam family "Eukaryotic large subunit ribosomal RNA", at positions 1173 to 1379 of the family's 3401-position model. The record is from Rfam by way of RNAcentral. Lineage: Eukaryota; Fungi; Ascomycota; Sordariomycetes; Hypocreales; Hypocreaceae.